Molecule: ribosomal RNA, 446 nt
Filed under: uncultured bacterium
Lineage: Bacteria
Description: partial 16S ribosomal RNA
Rfam family: Bacterial small subunit ribosomal RNA
Source: RNAcentral
CCUACGGGAGGCAGCAGUCGAGAAUCAUUCACAAUGGGGGAAACCCUGAUGGUGCGACGCCGCGUGGGGGAAUGAAGGUCUUCGGAUUGUAAACCCCUGUCAUGUGGGAGCAAAUUAAAAAGAUAGUACCACAAGAGGAAGAGACGGCUAACUCUGUGCCAGCAGCCGCGGUAAUACAGAGGUCUCAAGCGUUGUUCGGAAUCACUGGGCGUAAAGCGUGCGUAGGCUGUUUCGUAAGUCGUGUGUGAAAGGCGCGGGCUCAACCCGCGGACGGCACAUGAUACUGCGAGACUGGAGUGAUGGAGGGGGAACCGGAAUUCUCGGUGUAGCAGUGAAAUGCGUAGAUAUCGAGAGGAACACUCGUGGCGAAGGCGGGUUCCUGGACAUUAACUGACGCUGAGGCACGAAGGCCAGGGGAGCGAAAGGGAUUAGAUACCCCUGUAGUC